UACGGGGGGAGCAAGCGUUGUUCGGAUUUACUGGGCGUAAAGGGCGCGUAGGCGGCCAGCACAAGUCAGUUGUGAAAUCUCCGGGCUUAACUCGGAAAGGUCAACUGAUACUGUGCGGCUAGAGUGCAGAAGGGGCAACUGGAAUUCUCGGUGUAGCGGUGAAAUGCGUAGAUAUCGAGAGGAACACCUGCGGCGAAGGCGGCUCACUGGCUCGUAACUGACGCUCAGGCGCGAUAGCGUGGGGAUCAAACAGG
RNAcentral lists this ribosomal RNA (254 nucleotides) under uncultured bacterium. RNAcentral's name for it is "partial 16S ribosomal RNA". It matches the Rfam family "Bacterial small subunit ribosomal RNA", at positions 524 to 776 of the family's 1533-position model. The record is from RNAcentral.